UACGAAGGGGGCUAGCGUUGCUCGGAAUCACUGGGCGUAAAGGGUGCGUAGGCGGGUUCUAAGUCAGAGGUGAAAGCCUGGAGCUCAACUCCAGAACUGCCUUUGAUACUGGAAGUCUUGAGUAUGGCAGAGGUGAGUGGAACUGCGAGUGUAGAGGUGAAAUUCGUAGAUAUUCGCAAGAACACCAGUGGCGAAGGCGGCUCACUGGGCCGAUUACUGACGCUGAGGCACGAAAGCGUGGGGAGCAAACAGG
This 253-nucleotide ribosomal RNA is filed under the name uncultured bacterium. RNAcentral describes it as "partial 16S ribosomal RNA". It matches the Rfam family "Bacterial small subunit ribosomal RNA", at positions 524 to 776 of the family's 1533-position model. The record is from RNAcentral.